This 242-nucleotide long non-coding RNA is filed under the name Mytilus galloprovincialis (Mediterranean mussel). The record is from RNAcentral. Lineage: Eukaryota; Metazoa; Mollusca; Bivalvia; Mytilida; Mytilidae.
AAAAGGUUUUAUAGUUAUUUCCAGUACGUGUUCUCGUGUGUCUCUUUAUUAGUUUUCAUACAUGAAGCUAUUUCCAGUUUGUGUUCUCAUGUGUCCCUUUAAAAAGGUUUUAUAGUUAUUUCCAGUAUGUGUUCUCGUGUCUUUUUAUCGUGUUUAUAACUAUUUCGAGUAUGUGUUCUCAUGUGUCUCUUAAGAUUUUAUAACUAUUUCCAGGAUGUGUUCUCACAUUUAUACUAUAACUA